GAUGAACGCUGGCGGCGUGCCUAAUACAUGCAAGUCGAGCGAACGGACGAGAAGCUUGCUUCUCUGAUGUUAGCGGCGGACGGGUGAGUAACACGUGGAUAACCUACCUAUAAGACUGGGAUAACUUCGGGAAACCGGAGCUAAUACCGGAUAAUAUUUUGAACCGCAUGGUUCAAAAGUGAAAGACGGUCUUGCUGUCACUUAUAGAUGGAUCCGCGCUGCAUUAGCUAGUUGGUAAGGUAACGGCUUACCAAGGCAACGAUGCAUAGCCGACCUGAGAGGGUGAUCGGCCACACUGGAACUGAGACACGGUCCAGACUCCUACGGGAGGCAGCAGUAGGGAAUCUUCCGCAAUGGGCGAAAGCCUGACGGAGCAACGCCGCGUGAGUGAUGAAGGUCUUCGGAUCGUAAAACUCUGUUAUUAGGGAAGAACAUAUGUGUAAGUAACUGUGCACAUCUUGACGGUACCUAAUCAGAAAGCCACGGCUAACUACGUGCCAGCAGCCGCGGUAAUACGUAGGUGGCAAGCGUUAUCCGGAAUUAUUGGGCGUAAAGCGCGCGUAGGCGGUUUUUUAAGUCUGAUGUGAAAGCCCACGGCUCAACCGUGGAGGGUCAUUGGAAACUGGAAAACUUGAGUGCAGAAGAGGAAAGUGGAAUUCCAUGUGUAGCGGUGAAAUGCGCAGAGAUAUGGAGGAACACCAGUGGCGAAGGCGACUUUCUGGUCUGUAACUGACGCUGAUGUGCGAAAGCGUGGGGAUCAAACAGGAUUAGAUACCCUGGUAGUCCACGCCGUAAACGAUGAGUGCUAAGUGUUAGGGGGUUUCCGCCCCUUAGUGCUGCAGCUAACGCAUUAAGCACUCCGCCUGGGGAGUACGACCGCAAGGUUGAAACUCAAAGGAAUUGACGGGGACCCGCACAAGCGGUGGAGCAUGUGGUUUAAUUCGAAGCAACGCGAAGAACCUUACCAAAUCUUGACAUCCUUUGACAACUCUAGAGAUAGAGCUUUCCCCUUCGGGGGACAAAGUGACAGGUGGUGCAUGGUUGUCGUCAGCUCGUGUCGUGAGAUGUUGGGUUAAGUCCCGCAACGAGCGCAACCCUUAAGCUUAGUUGCCAUCAUUAAGUUGGGCACUCUAAGUUGACUGCCGGUGACAAACCGGAGGAAGGUGGGGAUGACGUCAAAUCAUCAUGCCCCUUAUGAUUUGGGCUACACACGUGCUACAAUGGACAAUACAAAGGGCAGCGAAACCGCGAGGUCAAGCAAAUCCCAUAAAGUUGUUCUCAAUUCGGAUUGUAGUCUGCAACUCGACUACAUGAAGCUGGAAUCGCUAGUAAUCGUAGAUCAGCAUGCUACGGUGAAUACGUUCCCGGGUCU
Molecule: ribosomal RNA, 1372 nt
Filed under: uncultured bacterium
Lineage: Bacteria
Description: bacterial SSU rRNA
Rfam family: Bacterial small subunit ribosomal RNA
Source: RNAcentral